Long non-coding RNA from Cydia amplana, 360 nucleotides. RefSeq lists it as uncharacterized. The transcript is spliced from 3 exons. The record is from RefSeq and is a predicted model, not a curated record. NCBI's taxonomy places the organism in Eukaryota, Metazoa, Arthropoda, Insecta, Lepidoptera, Tortricidae.
UACUGACCGUGCGCCGGGUGCGGGUGGUGGUUGUGGUGGUAGUGCGCGGGCGGCAGGUAGGCGGGCGCGGGCGGGGAGCGCGCGGGCGAGCUGUCGGCCGCUCGCGCGGGCGAGCUGUCGGCCGCUGUACGUGUAUACUGACCGUGCGCCGGGUCCGGGUGGUGGUUGUGGUGGUAGUGCGCGGGCGGCAGGUAGGCGGGCGCGGGCGGGGAGCGCGCGGGCGAGCUGUCGGCCGCUUGCGCGGGCGAGCUGUCGGCCGCUGUACGUGUAUACUGACCGUGCGCCGGGUGCGGGUGGUGGUUGUGGUGGUAGUGCGCGGGCGGCAGGUAGGCGGGCGCGGGCGGGGAGCGCGCGGGCGAG